GAGAGAGAGAGAGAGAGAGAGAGAGAGAGAGAGAGAGAGAGAGAGAGAGAGAGAGAGAGAGAGAGAGAGAUUAGGGUGCCCAGUGAUGUCAUUCAGUACAUGUUGUUUGCCUCAGUGACUCCAGGACGCUGUACAUUUAUGAGCUUUUCUUUUAUUUAUUUUUUCUUCGUUCUGCGCCGCGAUGUGUCUAAGUUGCCGAGGUACCGAGUCUACAUGAUGAGCGCGUGUACGUCCUCUGAAUGCUGAUGUAGGUUACGCAACACACACACACACACACACACACACACACACACUGACAGACUAGCGGACAAGUUAAUAUGCGGACGCUGAAAAAAAAAACACACACAUGCACUCACCUUGUCAAACAGAACAGCUAGGCAAACACACACACACACACACACACACACACACACUCUUCCCUUCCAUUCCUCCCCGCCCCCACACACAUUCAGACCCCCUUCCCCUCCCACACAGAACCCCUUCCCCCCUCCCCCCUCCCUCACCCACACACUUACCCCCUCCUCCCCCUCCCCUCACACACCAUCUUUAGGGAAACAGCAGCAGCAGCAGGAGCGCCGCUACGCCCCGCUGAAUCAAUCAAUGCAGGCAGCGGCAGCAGCAGCGGCGCGCGUUAUUGAGCGUUGCGUCACGCACCGGCCCGCAGCAGAUGACCUGUUGAGGGCUGGCCGAGGGGCGCCACCACCCCCGCCGCCCCGCUGUGUUGCUGUGCUGCUGUGUUGCCGGGCCGAGGUGUUCGUGGGGACGCUCGUGUUGCUAUGUCAUGCGAGGGGUCCUGAGGUGCUGUGCUGCUGUGUCGCUGGGCCAAGGUGUUCGUGAGGGUAUUACUGUUGCCAUGUCAUGCGAGGGGUCUUGAGGUGCUGUGCUGCUGUGUUGCUGUGGUGCUGGGUCAAGAUGGCUGUGGGGGUGUCACUGUUGCCAUGUCUUGCGAGGGGUACUGAGGUGCUGAGAUGCUGUGGUGCUGGGUCAAGAUGGCUGUGGGGGUGUCACUGUUGCCAUGUCUUGCGAGGGGUCCUGAGGUGCUGUGCUGUUGUUUCCUGGUGGUCGGGUGUUCUCGCUGCGCCUUGUCCUUAUGUUGUUUUAUGUCUCAACGAAAACACCUCAGCACAUAUUUUCAAACAUUUCGGGGCCUACACACACACACACAUAUGCUAAGGCUUUCGUAGAGGUUGUGUCAGUAUUUCCACGGGUAGUUUUAUGAGCCUAGUGAUAGUUUGACAAGGCUUAUGCUCACACUCACAUAUGCUAAGGCUUUCGUAGAGAUUGUAUCAGUAUUUCCACGGGUAGUUUUAUGAGCCUAGUGAUAGUGUGACAAGGCUUAUGCAAACACUCACAUAUGCUAAGGCUUUCGUAGAGAUUGUGUCAGUAUUUCCACGGGUAGUUUUAUGAGCCUGGUGAUAGUGUGACAAGGCUUAUGCACCAUCAACGGAAAACACUAUGAGAACCCGACUAAUCUCCUUUGUGGCUUUUGGAAAUGGUUGUUGUGGGAGCCGAAAUCGUCUGAGAACAAGGAUAUUAGUUGACCCGUGAAUCAGGGCUGUAUUUUAAGACACCAUCGCUUCUCACAUCAACUAUUUCUAAAGGUCAAAGAGGGGAUCAAUCGGGUUUUCAUGAGUGUUUUUUAAGGUUCAUGGCACAGAAGAAGGGUCACACUACCACCAGGGUCAUAAAACUACCCCUGGAAAUGCCCACAACUCCUACGAAAGACUUAUCAAAUCUGUUUUCUUAGGUUCAUGGUGCAGAAGAAGGGUCAAACUACCACCAGGGUCAUAAAACUAUCCCCGGAAAAGCCCACAACUCCUACGAAAGACUUAUCAAAUCUGUUUUCUUAGGUUCAUGGCACAGAAGAAGGGUCACACUACCACCAGGGUCAUGAAACUACCCCUGGAAAUGCCCACAACUCCUACGAAAGACUUAUCAAAUCUGUUUUCUUAGGUUCAUGGUGCAGAAGAAGGGUCAAACUACCACCAGGGUCAUGAAACUACCCCUGGAAAUGCCCACAACUCUUACGAAAGACUUAUCAAAUCUGUUUUCUUAGGUUCAUGGCACAGAAGAAGGGUCUCACUACCACCAGGGUCAUAAAACUACCCCUGGAAAUGCCCACAACUCCUACGAAAGACUUAUCAAAUCUGUUUUCUUAGGUUUAUGGUGCAGAAGAAGGGUCACACUACCACCAGGGUCAUAAAACUACCCCUGGAAAUGCCCACAACUCCUACGAAAGACUUAUCAAAUCUGUUUUCUUAGGUUCAUGGCACAGAAGAAGGGUCAAACUACCACCAGGGUCAUAAAACUACCCCUGGAAAUGCCCACAGCUCCUACGAAAGACUUAUCAAAUCUGUUUUCUUAGGUUCAUGGUGCAGAAGAAGGGUCAAACUACCACCAGGGUCAUAAAACUACCCCUGGAAAUGCCCACAACUCCUACGAAAGACUUAUCAAAUCUGUUUCCUUAAGUUCAUGGCACAGAAGAAGGGUCAAACUACCACCAGGGUCAUGAAACUACCCCUGGAAAUGCCCACAACUCCUACGAAAGACUUAUCAAAUCUGUUUCCUUAAGUUCAUGGUACAGAAGAAGGGUCAAACUACCACCAGGGUCAUAAAACUACCCCUGGAAAUGCCCACAACUCCUACGAAAGACUUAUCAAAUCUGUUUUCUUUGGUUCAUGGUGCAGAAGAAGGGUCAAACUACCACCAGGGUCAUAAAACUACCCCUGGAAAUGCCCACAACUCCUACGAAAGACUUAUCAAAUCUGUUUCCUUAGGUUCAUGGUGCAGAAGAAGGGUCAAACUACCACCAGGGUCAUAAAACUACCCCUGGAAAUGCCCACAACUCCUACGAAAGACUUAUCAAAUCUGUUUCCUUAAGUUCAUGGUACAGAAGAAGGGUCAAACUACCACCAGGGUCAUAAAACUACCCCUGGAAAUGCCCACAGCUCCUACGAAAGACAUCAAAUGUUUUUUUAGGUUCAUGGCACAGAAGAAGGGUCUCACUACCACCAGGGUCAUAAAACUACCCCUGGAAAGGCCUACAGCUCCUACGAAAGACUUAUCAAAUCUGUUUCCUUAGGUUCAUGGUGCAGAAGAAGGGUCAAACUACCACCAGGGUCAUAAAACUACCCCUGGAAAGGCCUACAGCUCCUACGAAAGCCAUGUCAAAUAUGUGAACUUGGGCGACGAAACGAUUUAAAAUACGACCCUCAGACCGCAGCACGUGAAUCUUGCCUCCUGUUUGCUGCACGCUGUGGCUGCAGGCUGAGGCGAGACUGCCGUGUUUCUGACCGGCGUGACCAUUGCUGUGCCUCCUCGGUCUCUGCCACACGGAGCACAGGUGACCAGCCCAAGGAAGGUGGUCCCGGGCCGUGUGUGUGUGCUGCGGGCGGGCUGUGUCUUGGCCAGGCGGAUCAUUACAUGUGCUGCUGGUCGUCUGCUACCUCCCUGCUGCGCCUCCUUGCUUGGCCUGCUCCCCGGCCUUUAGGAAAACAAGUUCACUACCUCCCCCCCCCCCCCACUGCAGCACACAGCAGACGCCUCCCACAGUAUCAAGACCACCACCACCCGAAAUUGACCUCUUGGCCACUCUUAAAUUUUAACUUUUUUUAGGAGCAGCGUUUAGCGGGGUUAUUUUAUUCCACACGUUUGUUUAUGCCCUUGAGCUGCUUCCUUUCCCUCUUAGGAUUCUUUUUGUGAGCAGC
Eriocheir sinensis (Chinese mitten crab) is the source of this 3707-nucleotide long non-coding RNA. RefSeq lists it as uncharacterized. The transcript has 3 exons. NCBI's taxonomy places the organism in Eukaryota, Metazoa, Arthropoda, Malacostraca, Decapoda, Varunidae. The record is from RefSeq and is a predicted model, not a curated record.